GAUGAAGAACGUAGCGAAAUGCGAUAAGUAAUGUGAAUUGCAGAAUUCAGUGAAUCAUCGAAUCUUUGAACGCACAUUGCGCCCGCUGGUAUUCCGGCGGGCAUGCCUGUUCGAGCGUCAUUUCAACCCUCAAGCUCUCCGGAGUUUGGUGUUGGGGCGCCUGGGGCUUUUCGACCUCAGGGCCCUCAAGUCCAUCGGCGGGACCGCCAGGACACUGAGCGCAGUAGUAUUAUUUCGCUCGGUAGGAUCUUCCACGGCGGGUCGAUCUGGCCGCUAAACCCCCCAAUUCUCACCAAAGGUUGCCCUCGGAUCAGGUAGGAAUACCCGCUGAACUUAAGCAUAUCAAUAAGCGGAGGA
This 357-nucleotide unclassified non-coding RNA is filed under the name soil metagenome. RNAcentral's name for it is "partial contains 5.8S ribosomal RNA, internal transcribed spacer 2, and large subunit ribosomal RNA". The stretch from base 1 to 120 matches the Rfam family "5.8S ribosomal RNA", at positions 35 to 154 of the family's 154-position model. The record is from RNAcentral.